Molecule: non-coding RNA, 110 nt
Organism: Acanthosepion pharaonis
Lineage: Eukaryota; Metazoa; Mollusca; Cephalopoda; Sepiida; Sepiidae
Source: the annotation of a GenBank genome assembly
GACCACAUUACGUUGAAACACAGGUUCCCGUACGAUCACCGAACUUAAGCAACGUCGAGCAUGGUCAGUACCUAAAUGGCUGACCACUUAGGAAUACAAGGUGCUGCAAG